GAUUCUCAGCAACGGAUAUCUCGACUCAUGAAAAACAUAAAAUGUGAUAUUUGAUGUGAAUUACAGAAUCAUGAGCUAUCUAGUCCUAGAAGACAUCUUGUUAGAAGUUCCAAUUCCACCAAACUACAAGCGUAAGAGAGGCU
This is a non-coding RNA of Glycine soja, 143 nucleotides long. The record is from Rfam. NCBI's taxonomy places the organism in Eukaryota, Viridiplantae, Streptophyta, Magnoliopsida, Fabales, Fabaceae.